UACGUAGGGCGCGAGCGUUGUCCGGAUUUAUUGGGCGUAAAGAGCUCGUAGGCGGCUUGUCGCGUCGACUGUGAAAACCCGUGGCUCAACCAUGUGGUCUGCAGUCGAUACGGGCAGGCUAGAAUUCGGUAGGGGAGACUGGAAUUCCUGGUGUAGCGGUGAAAUGCGCAGAUAUCAGGAAGAACACCCGUGGCGAAGGCGGCUCUCUGGAACGCAACUGACGCUGAGACGCGAAAGCGUGGGGAGCAAACAGG
This 254-nucleotide ribosomal RNA is filed under the name uncultured bacterium. RNAcentral describes it as "partial 16S ribosomal RNA". It matches the Rfam family "Bacterial small subunit ribosomal RNA", at positions 524 to 776 of the family's 1533-position model. The record is from RNAcentral.